ACCUUGAUAUCAAGCUUUUCUGUAUCUUUUUAUCACAACCACCAUCCAUAUUAUUAUGGGUCUUCCCCUCCUUUUCCUAUAUCCUUCGACACAAGUUAAAGUACCUCUCCUUAUCAUAGCUCUAUUAGAUUUUCAUUGUAUGCCAUACCAUCAUAAUCUAUUUCCAUCACUUGGUCCUUAAUUUGUGCAACUCCUAAAAUUCUAACAUAUUAAUUUCUCAAUUGA
Molecule: long non-coding RNA, 225 nt
Filed under: Elaeis guineensis (African oil palm)
Lineage: Eukaryota; Viridiplantae; Streptophyta; Magnoliopsida; Arecales; Arecaceae
Description: long non-coding RNA (EGUI_LNC020765)
Source: RNAcentral